UCUCUCUUGGUAUAUCGGUAGAACAUAACCCUGUCAUAAAAAGCACGGUUGAGAGCUGGGUUCGACUCCCAGAGGGAGAG
Non-coding RNA from Botryobasidium botryosum FD-172 SS1, 80 nucleotides. The record is from the annotation of a GenBank genome assembly. Lineage: Eukaryota; Fungi; Basidiomycota; Agaricomycetes; Cantharellales; Botryobasidiaceae.